Molecule: long non-coding RNA, 2908 nt
Organism: Centrocercus urophasianus (Greater sage-grouse)
Lineage: Eukaryota; Metazoa; Chordata; Aves; Galliformes; Phasianidae
Exons: 3
Source: RefSeq, a predicted model, not a curated record
AGAUCCCAGUGUUUAACAAAAACAUCAGAAGGGGUUGAAAAUAUUUGGAUUAUUUUUUCUUUCUAUUCAUCCUCUUAUUAUUUAGGAGCAAAACCAAACAAAAUCCUAAAGCUCUUGCACAACUGCUAAGUGUCUAAUAGAGGAUUUUAUUCCAAGGAUCCUGUCAGCAGCCUGAACACAUAUUGUGUUUUUUUUUAUCUAAGGAAACAAAUCAACUUUUGGAUUUCAGGGAUCAGCCUGCUGGAAGGAAGAUACCACUGUAACCCUUGGUGAUCUACAGAUUUACAAGGUGAAGAGAAAGGCUUUUAGCUGUGCCAGCAGGUUAAAGCAUCUAUUUCUGAUGAACCCAACAACUGCUAGAGGUUGUUGAACCCAUCAACUGAUAGAGGAUAUUGAGAAAUGAAAAGUAAGAAACAAAAAAUGGAACCAGUGUGAAACAUUACGUACAUUUUGCAAGGUGUAACAAUAACACAUCAGUAUAUUGCAGAAGAAUAAAUGCAGAACUUCAUUGUACCAAUAUCUGAACUUCCUCCAGUCAAACAGCAGAGACAAUAGACAACGAUGGAAGCAGGACAUCUGGACCAGGCCAUUGGCAACUGGUAACUCAAGGACCACAGACAUCUUUUAAUAUCUGUUCAAGUGAACGCUGUCUGACUUCAUUGCUUUGGUUUGUCACCCAAGAGUAUAAACAAUGAGAUUCAGGGUGUUCUGGCCAAGGGAGGAAGCUUUCAGUCAGCUGCCUAUCAAUCAAAAUCCAAGACUGUAUAUAUUUUAAAGAUGAAAAGCACAUAAACAGAAGGCUAAAUCAUUUCAGAGACUGGAUUCCUGUUCAAGUAGUAGUGGUGGAGUUCACGAUAUUGGCUUCUUCCUGUCGAGAACUGGACUGAAUAUUCAUUUCAAGUAAGAAGAAAGACUGAUCCCAUGUGGGAAACAUUUCUGAUUUUCUUCCAAUAUCUGAACCUGCAACUUAGGCUGUGUUACCUCUAAUUUAUCAAGACAUUCUUUGAGGGUGUACCAGAGAGCACUGAAAUGCUGCCUGUGGCUUUUCUGGUGAAAGAGUUUGGACUUCUAAUGGAACAAGAGUGUAAAUGACCCCUGUAAUCUUGUGUUGAGGCUGCAUUUAAGGCAGAGUCCAGAGUCAUUCUGCAUUUCAUGGGGAGAAGCAGUGACAUCUCAACUGUGGAUGUACCUAUUCCUUGCUUAGUCAUACUGCAACUGGAGUUAGGAAACCCUGGGUUUAGAAUGUAGACCCCACUGUAAGAUAUCCUUGUUGUAUUAGAUUUCAAUCAAGUUGCAGCUGAGAUCAGCAUAAAAGCUAUUUUUCCCGGCUCAUGGCCAUUACAUAGCCCCAAGCAAAGCUACACGUGUUCAGACCCUUACCCAGUCAUGCCAAAAUCAUCUAGGCUAACUUAGAAACUUUAGAAGAGAACUUUUUGUUAUUUUUGCUGUGGUUUAAACCCAGACAAUUUUGUGAGGAGUUCAUUUGGAAGCAAUUAGCGCACAGUUAUACCAGAGCACGUGAAGAUGUGGUCACUUCUGGUGAGGAGGAGGAGGAAGGAUUCGUGGGCAGCUUGGAAGGAACUAGGAAUGAUAGCCUUGUAGAGCAGAUCAGAUGCAGCCCAAGUAAUAGAUGUGGCCGCAGAACAGGUGGUGUGAGUAUACUGUGAGGUUCUCUGGAAAAUCCUACGCACCACAUGUUUCAAUGGCCUUGGUUGCUAUAAUGGUCAUUUCCUUCUGCUUAGCUCUUCUGGAGGUCUCUGAAUGAAGAAUCUUCCAACCCUGAGGGCCUCCUAAGCUCUGAAAGGAUGAACAAGGUAUAGGGUAAUGACAGGCAUUGGGAAUGGCCUCUGUCAGGGAUGUCUUGCUGAUGCCAUCGUUGUAUUGUACUGUGUGGCUGGGACACUGCAGAGGCCAUGAGCAGUAAGAAGGAGAUCUCCUCUUGGAGACAAUUCCAGGAGCUUCUCUGUUCCAUACAAGGCUCUUGAAAGUCAUCAAAGUAAUCAGAGAACAACAACAACCACAAAGCCAAAAUACAGAGAAAUCCCAAUAGCAGGAAACCACCUCCAUUUCUUCUCUGAUUUGUCCUGGCUUCUGAAAACAAGAGCCAGGCAUUACUUUAUGACUGCUUUCCUCAGAUUCUCAUUCCCGGGCUCCAAGGAGAAAUCCCUAAUUUGUUGAAAGGUAGACAGAAAAAUUGGAUCAGCAGCACAAGUUUAGAGUUUGCUGAGGAGAUUGUGAAACCUCAAACAUCCCCAAGAGAUUAAGAUGUUUAUGCUCAACUUCUUCAAGUGUAACUUAACUUUUGGUUACUUGCUCCUGAUUUUACUGCCAAAAAAGCAUAAGGAGAAUAAGAGGCAAAACAACUUUUGCUUGCAUUGCUUUCUGGCGACUAGUCCAAUUUGUUUAAACCUUUUUGAUUCCGCAUCAUUCUUUGGUUUGGGGCCAAGCUUUGUGUUCAGAGAAGGAGCUGAAAGUUCAAAAUGCUUCUACAGCAGCACCCUCUGAACAGCCAGUGUGGAGACAGCCACGGUGCCCAACAGAAAGUCAAGUUUAUUAAGAGAGCAGGCUGCUGAAAAGAGGGAGAACAGCAUUUCGGUGAACUCUGAUACUCUGCCAGCAGAGGAAGAUGUUAAUAGCAGAAAGAGCAGUCCUGGCCUUGGAGGCUUUAGGUACUCUUUUCCAUCUCAUAAUAAACUAGAACAGAAGAAAAUGGAAUGGACUGAAAUAAAGUCAAAUAAAAAUAGACUUAUGCGUGUGUUUCUGGAAGCAGUUUCUUAUUUUGGUGUAAUGCAGACAUAAACAGAUAGUUAUAGCAAGAAGUUAGAUUUCAGACAUGGAAGUGGCAGGUGUUCCCACUGGUACUUGUGCUAAUAAAGCCCUGAGACGUUGCAUUCUGGGGCUGCUAAUC